GCCUACGGGGGCAGCAGUAGGGAAUAUUGCUCAAUGGGGGAAACCCUGAAGCAGCAACGCCGCGUGGAGGAUGAAGGUUUUCGGAUUUAAACUCCUUUUGUUAGAGAAGAUAAUGACGGUAUCUAACGAAUAAGCACCGGCUAACUCCGUGCCAGCAGCCGCGGUAAUACGGAGGGUGCAAGCGUUACUCGGAAUCACUGGGCGUAAAGAGCGCGUAGGCGGGAUAGCAAGUCAGAUGUGAAAUCCUAUGGCUUAACCAUAGAACUGCAUUUGAAACUGUUAUUCUAGAGUAUGGGAGAGGUAGG
This 305-nucleotide ribosomal RNA is filed under the name uncultured bacterium. RNAcentral's name for it is "bacterial SSU rRNA". It matches the Rfam family "Bacterial small subunit ribosomal RNA", at positions 337 to 661 of the family's 1533-position model. The record is from RNAcentral.